GUUGGAUAGAAGCCUCCUCUACAUCCAGGGAAACUGCUGACACUGUUGCCUCCAUCCUCAUUGAGCAGAUCAUUCCCAGGUUCGAACUUCCCGCCUCCAUCCAGUCAGACAACAGUCCUGCCUUCACUUCUCAGGUUGUUCAACUAGUCUCCAAAGGCCUCAAUGUCACUUGGAGGCUCCACAUCUCCUACCAACCCCAAUCCUUGGGCUCAAACCAUGCAUCCGGGAAACUGAUUCUGGCAACAUCGGACCAGAGGACUCGCAAGAAUCCACACCUACAUACUCUUGCUCUCCCCACCCAUCUGACCCUUUAAAAAUUCAUCUCUCUCGUGGUUUUGCCCAUACACCCAUAGUUGAGAACAUAUCCAAAAAUAUACCUUAACUUUCUGAUCCUCAUCCUCAUCCUCACCCCAAGGGUAACGCCUUCGCCACCGUAUGUCUGGAGAUUCAAGGUGAGAGAAACAUACACACAAAAAUCACCCGGACCACUCGCUUGGCUACCGCUUCUGACUAUCCCCUAACAGGGUGCUCCUCAGCCAUCUAUAUUGUACUCUCUUCCUCUUCCUCUGAGCUCAUUAAGCAAGCCAGCCACCCUUACUUAUGCUUUUUGUAUGACCAAAAUAAGGAUUACUGCAAACAGUGGCCGGAAACCUUCGGAAGCUGCCCCUAUUGGUCAUUUAGAAUUC
This 686-nucleotide long non-coding RNA is filed under the name Marmota monax (woodchuck). Lineage: Eukaryota; Metazoa; Chordata; Mammalia; Rodentia; Sciuridae. The record is from RNAcentral.